This 253-nucleotide ribosomal RNA is filed under the name uncultured bacterium. RNAcentral's name for it is "partial 16S ribosomal RNA". It matches the Rfam family "Bacterial small subunit ribosomal RNA", at positions 524 to 776 of the family's 1533-position model. The record is from RNAcentral.
UACGAAGGGGGCUAGCGUUGUUCGGAAUUACUGGGCGUAAAGCGUGCGCAGGCGGUUUUCCAAGUCAGUGGUGAAAGCCCGGAGCUCAACUCCGGAACUGCCAUUGAAACUGUGAGACUCGAGUACGAGAGAGGUGAGUGGAAUUCCCAGUGUAGAGGUGAAAUUCGUAGAUAUUGGGAAGAACACCGGUGGCGAAGGCGGCUCACUGGCUCGUAACUGACGCUCAUGCACGACAGCGUGGGGAUCAAACAGG